This 100-nucleotide ribosomal RNA is filed under the name Caudalejeunea reniloba. RNAcentral describes it as "partial 26S ribosomal RNA". It matches the Rfam family "Eukaryotic large subunit ribosomal RNA", at positions 1 to 100 of the family's 3401-position model. Lineage: Eukaryota; Viridiplantae; Streptophyta; Jungermanniopsida; Porellales; Lejeuneaceae. The record is from RNAcentral.
GGACCUCAGAUCAGGCAAGACUACCCGCUGAGUUUAAGCAUAUCACUAAGCGGAGGAAAAGAAACUAACGAGGAUUUCCUUAGUAACGGCGAGCGAACCG